GACGAGCGCUGGCGGCGUGCUUAACACAUGCAAGUCGAACGGAAAGGCCCUGCUUUUGUGGGGUGCUCGAGUGGCGAACGGGUGAGUAACACGUGAGUAACCUGCCCUUGACUUUGGGAUAACUUCAGGAAACUGGGGCUAAUACCGGAUAGGAGCUCCUGCUGCAUGGUGGGGGUUGGAAAGUUUCGGCGGUUGGGGAUGGACUCGCGGCUUAUCAGCUUGUUGGUGGGGUAGUGGCUUACCAAGGCUUUGACGGGUAGCCGGCCUGAGAGGGUGACCGGCCACAUUGGGACUGAGAUACGGCCCAGACUCCUACGGGAGGCAGCAGUGGGGAAUAUUGCACAAUGGGCGGAAGCCUGAUGCAGCAACGCCGCGUGCGGGAUGACGGCCUUCGGGUUGUAAACCGCUUUCGCCUGUGACGAAGCGUGAGUGACGGUAAUGGGUAAAGAAGCACCGGCUAACUACGUGCCAGCAGCCGCGGUAA
Molecule: ribosomal RNA, 484 nt
Filed under: uncultured bacterium
Lineage: Bacteria
Description: partial 16S ribosomal RNA
Rfam family: Bacterial small subunit ribosomal RNA
Source: RNAcentral